This 454-nucleotide ribosomal RNA is filed under the name uncultured bacterium. Its description in RNAcentral is "bacterial SSU rRNA". It matches the Rfam family "Bacterial small subunit ribosomal RNA", at positions 44 to 493 of the family's 1533-position model. The record is from RNAcentral.
AUGGUUAAGACAUGCAAGUCGAACGAAAGCAAGUCUUCGGAUUUGUGGAAAGUGGCGAACGGGUGCGUAACACGUGAGCAACCUGCCCUAAAGUGCGGAACAGCCUGCCGAAAGGUGGAUUAAUGCCGCAUGUGACCUUUUUACGCAUGUUAAAAUGGUUAAAGCUUGUAAUGGCGCUUUAGGAUGGGCUCGCGGCCUAUCAGCUUGUUGGUGAGGUAAAUGCUCACCAAGGCUAAGACGGGUAGCUGGUCUGAGAGGAUGAUCAGCCACACCGGGACUGAGACACGGCCCGGACACCUACGGGUGGCAGCAGUUUCGAAUCAUUCACAAUGGGCGAAAGCCUGAUGGUGCAAUGCCGCGUGGAGGAUGAAGGCCUUAGGGUCGUAAACUCCUGUCAUUGGGGAGCAACAAGCAGGUUUAUAGCCUGCCCUGAGUUAACCCAAAGAGGAAGAGG